UACGUAGGGGGCAAGCGUUGUCCGGAUUUAUUGGGCGUAAAGAGCGUGUAGGCGGUUUGGUAGGUCCGCUGUGAAAACUCGAGGCUCAACCUCGAGACGCCGGUGGAAACCAUCAGACUAGAGUCCGGAAGAGGAGAGUGGAAUUCCUGGUGUAGCGGUGAAAUGCGCAGAUAUCAGGAAGAACACCGGUGGCUAAGGCGGCUCUCUAGUACGGUACUGACGCUGAGACGCGAAAGCGUGGGGAGCGAACAGG
RNAcentral lists this ribosomal RNA (253 nucleotides) under uncultured bacterium. RNAcentral's name for it is "partial 16S ribosomal RNA". It matches the Rfam family "Bacterial small subunit ribosomal RNA", at positions 524 to 776 of the family's 1533-position model. The record is from RNAcentral.